Rhagoletis pomonella (apple maggot) is the source of this 930-nucleotide long non-coding RNA. RefSeq lists it as uncharacterized. The transcript has 2 exons. The record is from RefSeq and is a predicted model, not a curated record. Lineage: Eukaryota; Metazoa; Arthropoda; Insecta; Diptera; Tephritidae.
GUUGCGCUGGCUUACUAAUGUGCAGCUGCCGGAGAAGCCGGUUUGUCACCAGCCGGUUUGGUUCGCGGCAUGAAAUCGUGUGACUUCCUUUUGUGCGUUAUUUCUCACCACACUUCUCUACCACACUAUGGAUUUUCUUUUGAGUUGCAUUGCAGUCGUUGCAGUUGUAAUAGUAAUUGCUAGUUAACGCCGAAAACAUAUACAUUGGUAGCAUGAAACAACAACAUCGCGCCAUCUUCGUGUUUGUAUAUGAACUACGAAAAAGCCCAAUAAAUAUUAGCAGCAACCGAAAAAGUGGUGUCGGUAUAUCGUCAACAACUGAAAUAAGUCGCAGCAAGACGUCUUGUGGCAGCUGAGGCAGAAUUGAAGCAUCUACAAUAUUUAGUUGCAUCGAUGCGAAGUAGUGACUAGGAAAGCAGUUGCCCGCCAUCAGUCAACGUGGCAACAUGUUAAAUGUUUGCUGAUGCCUUGGUGUUGUAGCACCAACAAAUGCUACCACUGUGGAAGGAUAGAACUUAUUCUCUAAGCAACAGUGCAAAAAUUGACUGAAUGAAAGAAGCAAGAGCGAAGCAAACGGCGAGUUCCGUUCAGAAAACGAAUCCACUGCCGCAAUCAGUGUUUCCAGAACUUUUUUAGAGAAAAGACUUGAUGAAAAAGGCCAAAUAAAACUAAAAUAUAAUUUUAUUGCGCGCUAAAUUUUUUACGCUUCACUUGUUUUUACUUAAUCAAUACAGCAUUUGGUCCGGGCAUAUCGAAACCUAAGUUCCCUGACAAAAUGUUUCCAGAUUUUUGAUACAAUUUACACUGACCGAAUAAAUAAACAGUUAAAACCAAAGCUAUUUACUUAAUUAUUUUCGAUAAGACAAAACGUAUUUAAUUUUAACGAUUUACUCAGAGGUGACUUAGUCCUACCAUAAGUGUAAAUCAAUA